RNAcentral lists this small RNA (437 nucleotides) under Pan troglodytes (chimpanzee). RNAcentral's name for it is "processed transcript". The record is from RNAcentral. Lineage: Eukaryota; Metazoa; Chordata; Mammalia; Primates; Hominidae.
CCACAGCCCCAUCCCCAGCUCCAGUCCUUCCAGGAUUCGCCUCAGCAUUCAGUUCCAAUUUCAACUCCGCUCUUGUUGCACAAGCCGGUUUAUCAUCCGGACUUCAAGCUGCAGGCAGUUCUGUUUUUCCAGGCCUUUUGUCCCUCCCGGGUAUCCCUGGGUUUCCUCAGAAUCCUUCACAAUCAUCCUUGCAAGAAUUACAGCAUAAUGCGGCUGCACAGUCAGCAUUGUUACAGCAGAGCAACAUCAGAAUUGCCUAAGAACUGCAAUGAACAAUCUGACAAAUGUGAAGCUGGCCAAAAGUCGGAAAAUGAGAAUGAGGGUAAUCCUGGAGAAAUUGUGACAACAAUUUGAAAAUUGUGGUUGCAUUUUAAAGUGUGAACACUCCCCUUUGUAAAUAUGCUGACAAUAAAUUGUAUGGAGAAUGGUAUUUAAAA